AUCUCCUAUACUAAGCUCAUAGCUAGCACUAAGUACAUCCUAGUAUAGGAACAACUAUUGCAUCGACUAAAACAACCAAGUAACUAAGGAAACUUGUUGAGCUUAUUCAGACCACUUCUCCAAUGCCUAUACUUACUGCCUCGAACAUGGAUGGACAAUGUUAACUCUCGGCAUAGCUGAUCUUCUUGGAACUUGACACUAUUAAAUCUUAUGUUAUUCCUUUCUCGCCAUAUAAGAGCAACAGUAUGGAUGAAUGCACAGACAGUUAUAGCAUUAAGAACCACUCGACUCUUAGCCUUGCUACAUACCCAUUGCAACUCA
This 321-nucleotide long non-coding RNA is filed under the name Nicotiana benthamiana. RNAcentral describes it as "long non-coding RNA (NBEN_LNC029894)". The record is from RNAcentral. Lineage: Eukaryota; Viridiplantae; Streptophyta; Magnoliopsida; Solanales; Solanaceae.